ACGGGCCUAUCCCAGGACAUCACACACAAAGAGGCGGCGGUGAACCCAAGCCGCCGGGCCGGCCUGUGGCUCAGUGUGUGUUUCAGAAGUCCCGGCCCCAGGCAGCUCUCCUGAACAGAGCCACUGGAACUCAGGAGGGUCAGGACCACAGCCCAAACAACUGCGACCGAAAACACCCUACAGGGCUUGAGAACUAAAAAAUAAGGAGGGAUCUGGGCAGCCGAGCUGCCUCCUAAAGAAGCCACGUCAUAGAGAAAACUGCUUGCUCUAUCCAUGAGACGGAGGCGGCCGGGGUGUCCUGCCAGCAGACACGGGUCUGUCCAUCACCGGCCACCACGCUGCCUCUGUCCUUCACUCCCAUUUAAGGGAAAACGAUAUCUCUUCAUCUUUCUGCCCUGGACAUUGGAAAUCAGCGGAAGAGUCUCUCCCUUUUGCAAACGCCAGCCACAGAGGUUUAUUUUUCUCCCUGAGAGAAGGAAGAGUGAAGGCUGAGACUGAGACAGAAGGACAGAAGGAGAAGACUUAGAAGCCAGUGAGCCCGGAACCACGAGACGCGCUCUGAGGACACGGGGCCUCGGGGAAACCGGGCACGGGCAGGGGUUGGUCUUGGCUUCCCCGCAACAUUGCCGCGAGCUCGGGUGCCGUCUCCACUCGCAGGCUGGCCUGUCCUCUGCAGCCACGAGCUCAGGCACCGUCUCCGUUCAUAGGCCAGCCUGUUCUCUGCAGCCUGAGGUCCCUGUGGUGCCAACAUCCAGAUGCUGAGAUAAUUCUGCCAGGGUGUUGGCUGAUCGGUGAUUGGUGGUUGGCUGUUCCGUGAGUUCUGCAUUGAUCUUGCUGGCUGAGCGUCCAAUGCGGAGGGGCAGGUGCUGUUAGGGUCUCCACUCCCAUCCCUCUCCCCAGGACUCAUCACCCACUGCAA
This 919-nucleotide long non-coding RNA is filed under the name Homo sapiens (human). Its description in RNAcentral is "HSALNT0404450". Lineage: Eukaryota; Metazoa; Chordata; Mammalia; Primates; Hominidae. The record is from RNAcentral.